This 188-nucleotide long non-coding RNA is filed under the name Pocillopora damicornis (cauliflower coral). RNAcentral's name for it is "uncharacterized LOC113684029, transcript variant X2". Lineage: Eukaryota; Metazoa; Cnidaria; Anthozoa; Scleractinia; Pocilloporidae. The record is from RNAcentral.
ACAGAAGCAGAAAAGUGCAAGACCUUACAAAAGGGGUCCUCGUUCAAGUGAAACACAGAAGUCUUUGAUUUGACUUUAACAGAAGAAUAAACCAGGCUGACAAGGGUCACUGCUGUGAUUGAGCUCAUCAUACUGAAAGUGGACUUGGACCAAGAAGUAUUUUUACACAGCAGAUUUUAAGAGGGCAG